UUGACCACAAAAAAUCUUUAAUGAGGUAUAAUUACAUUAACAGUUGAGGUAACAACUUGCAUAGGUAUUUAAUAGAUGAAUAAUUUUAAACCUUAGCCAUUUAAACUCAAGCUGUAGUUUUGGCAUGAAUGAUUUGUCUGUGAAGUGGUAAAUUCUCAUUGCACUUCAUGAUCAGCUGCCCCUGAUGAUUUCAAACUGUAAGCAAACCUACUUGAGAAAAAAGAUAAAUGAUUUUCUAGUAGUUAACAUCGAGCUAAGAUCUUAACAAAUCUAUAGAGGUUAGUGGAUUCUCUUCUUUCCGAAUAAAGUUAGCAGCAGUAGGACUUUAAAGAUUUCUAAUAAGGUUGUUAGGGAAGAGCAAUGAGUAUUUCAUACUAUAUUUUUAAUAAAAUGCAAGUGUAAUUUUAAUUUCAAAAAGGGCCCAAUGUUUAAAUAUCUAACAGGCUUUUAGUAGUCACAUAAUACUAGCAAGAGCAUUUUAAUCCGGCUUUAGUUACUUAUUCUAAGUGAGAUGCUGAACAUUUUGCUCAGAUGCCAAUUUUGAACAGUUCUAUGUCCUAUGCAGUUUUUUCUCUUUAAGACUGAUUUCUAUCCCUUUAAACCAAAAAUCUCAAGAUACAAUAGUACAAAACUAGAUCUAAUGUUAAAUAUAUAAAAUGAACUCAUAUCCAAGCUGAACUGUACUUGUAUUACACCAUAA
Molecule: long non-coding RNA, 700 nt
Filed under: Bos taurus (domestic cattle)
Lineage: Eukaryota; Metazoa; Chordata; Mammalia; Artiodactyla; Bovidae
Description: long non-coding RNA NONBTAT020659
Source: RNAcentral